UUCCAUUGGUGCCCAGUGACAGGACCAGAGUCAGUGGGCACAAACUGAAACACAGGAGGUUCCCUCUGAACAUUAGGAAAUACAUUUUUACUGUG
Molecule: long non-coding RNA, 95 nt
Organism: Tyto alba (common barn owl)
Lineage: Eukaryota; Metazoa; Chordata; Aves; Strigiformes; Tytonidae
Exons: 3
Source: RefSeq, a predicted model, not a curated record